GACGAACGCUGGCGGCGUGCCUAAUACAUGCAAGUAGAACGCUGAAGGCGGAGCUUGCUUCUCUGGAUGAGUUGCGAACGGGUGAGUAACGCGUAGGUAACCUGCCUGGUAGCGGGGGAUAACUAUUGGAAACGAUAGCUAAUACCGCAUAAGAGUAGAUGUCGCAUGACAUUUGCUUAAAAGGUGCAAUUGCAUCACUACCAGAUGGAUCUGCGUUGUAUUAGCUAGUUGUUGAGGUAACGGCUCACCAAGGCAACGAUCCAUAGCCGACCUGAGAGGGUGAGCGGCCACACUGGGACUGGAACACGGCCCAGACUCCUGCGAGAGGCAGCAGUAGGGAAUCUUCGGCAAUGGACGGAAGUCUGACCAAGCAACGCCGCGUGAGUGAAGAAGGUUUUCGGAUCGUAAAGCUCUGUUGUGAGAGAAGAACGAGUGUGAGAGUGGAAAGUUCACACUGUGACGGUAUCUUACCAGAAAGGGACGGCUAACUACGUG
This 495-nucleotide ribosomal RNA is filed under the name uncultured bacterium. Its description in RNAcentral is "partial 16S ribosomal RNA". It matches the Rfam family "Bacterial small subunit ribosomal RNA", at positions 28 to 507 of the family's 1533-position model. The record is from RNAcentral.